GCUUUUGAAAAUAGCUCAGUUGGUAGAGCAUGAGAUUCUUAAUCUCAGGGUUGUGGGUUCGAGCCCCACUUUGGGCA
Molecule: non-coding RNA, 77 nt
Organism: Podarcis lilfordi (Lilford's wall lizard)
Lineage: Eukaryota; Metazoa; Chordata; Lepidosauria; Squamata; Lacertidae
Source: the annotation of a GenBank genome assembly